AGCCGAACUAAGGUGAAACCGCGAAUGGCUCAUUAAAUCAGUUAUGGUUCCUUAGAUCGUACCAAAUUACUUGGAUAACUGUGGUAAUUCUAGAGCUAAUACAUGCAAACAGAGUCCCGACCAGAAAUGGAAGGGACGCUUUUAUUAGAUCAAAACCAAUCGGUCGGCUCGUCCGGUCCGUUUGCCUUGGUGACUCUGAAUAACUUUGGGCUGAUCGCACGGUCCUGGUACCGGCGACGCAUCUUUCAAAUGUCUGCCUUAUCAACUGUCGAUGGUAGGUUCUGCGCCUACCAUGGUUGUAACGGGUAACGGGGAAUCAGGGUUCGAUUCCGGAGAGGGAGCCUGAGAAACGGCUACCACAUCCAAGGAAGGCAGCAGGCGCGCAAAUUACCCACUCCCGGCACGGGGAGGUAGUGACGAAAAAUAACGAUACGGGACUCAUCCGAGGCCCCGUAAUCGGAAUGAAUACACUUUAAAUCCUUUAAUGAGUAUCCAUUGGAGGGCAAGUCUGGUGCCAGCAGCCGCGGUAAUUCCAGCUCCAAUAGCGUAUAUUAAAGUUGUUGCGGUUAAAAAGCUCGUAGUUGGAUUUGUGUCCCACGCUGUCGGUUCAUCGCUCGUCGGUGUCUAACUGGCAUGAUUCGUGGGACGUCCUGCCGGUGGUGGCGAGUCGAAAGCGUGCACCCGUUGUGGUCUCCACUUCGGUUCUUGGGCGCCGUAGGCGGACCCCGAUGAAAUCCUACCGCGGUGCUCUUCACCGAGUGUCGAGGUGGGCCGGCACGUUUACUUUGAACAAAUUAGAGUGCUUAAAGCAGGCCUGUUGCGCCUGAAUACUGUGUGCAUGGCAAUAAUGGAAUAGGACCUCGGUUCUAUUUUGUUGGUUUUCGGAACCCGAGGUAAUGAUUAAUAGGGACAGGCGGGGGCAUUC
This 925-nucleotide ribosomal RNA is filed under the name Scudderia furcata. Its description in RNAcentral is "SSU rRNA". It matches the Rfam family "Eukaryotic small subunit ribosomal RNA", at positions 68 to 893 of the family's 1831-position model. Lineage: Eukaryota; Metazoa; Arthropoda; Insecta; Orthoptera; Tettigoniidae. The record is from RNAcentral.